RNAcentral lists this ribosomal RNA (378 nucleotides) under uncultured bacterium. RNAcentral's name for it is "bacterial SSU rRNA". It matches the Rfam family "Bacterial small subunit ribosomal RNA", at positions 28 to 407 of the family's 1533-position model. The record is from RNAcentral.
GACGAACGCUGGCGGCGUGCUUAACACAUGCAAGUCGAGCGGUAAGGCCCUUUGGGGUACACGAGCGGCGAACGGGUGAGUAACACGUGAGUAAUCUGCCUUUGGCUUGGGAAUAACUUCGGGAAAUCGGGGCUAAUGCCUGAUGUUUACUGUCUGCUGCAUGGUGGGUGGUGGAAAGAUUUUUUGGCCAGGGAUGAGCUCGCGGUCUAUCAGCUUGUUGGUGGGGUAAUGGCUUACCAAGGCUUUGACGGGUAGCCGGCCUGAGAGGGUGUUCGGCCACACUGGGGACUGAGACACGGCCCAGACUCCUACGGGAGGCAGCAGGUGGGGAAUAUUGCGCAGUGGGCGUAAGCCUGACGCAGCGACGCCGCGUGGGGA